AGCAGCCGCGGUAAUUCCAGCUCCAAUAGCGUAUAUUAAAGUUGUUGCAGUUAAAAGCUCGUAGUUGAAUUUCGGGGUCAGUAAGUUGGUCGUGCCACUGGUAUGUACUGGCUUUACUGAUUCCUCCUUCUUGUAGAACCGUAAUGCCAUUAAGUUGGUGUUGCGGGAAAACAGGACUGUUACUUUGAAAAAAUUAGAGUGUUUAAAGCAAGCUAACGCUUGAAUACAUUAGCAUGGAAUAAUGAAAUAGGACGAACGAUCCUAUUUUGUUGGUUUCUAGGAUUGACGUAAUGAUUAAUAGGGAUAGUUGGGGGCAUUAGUAUUCAAUUGUCAGAGGUGAAAUUCUUGGAUUUAUUGAAGACUAACUACUGCGAAAGCAUUUUGCCAAGGAUGUUUUCAUUAAUCAAGAACGAAAGUUAGGGGAUCGAAGACGAUCAGAUACCGUCGUAGUCUUAACCAUAAACUAUGCCGACUAGGGAUCGGAUGAUGUUAAUUUUUUUAAUGACUCAUUCGGCGCCUU
This 520-nucleotide ribosomal RNA is filed under the name uncultured Glomus. RNAcentral describes it as "SSU rRNA". It matches the Rfam family "Eukaryotic small subunit ribosomal RNA", at positions 569 to 1089 of the family's 1831-position model. The record is from RNAcentral. Lineage: Eukaryota; Fungi; Glomeromycota; Glomeromycetes; Glomerales; Glomeraceae.